CCAGCCACGGCUCACCACUUUCCCCUGAAAUUCAAAUGAUUUACCAACACAUACCCAACUUUUUUGUCAUCUCACCCACACACUCAAAAGUUGUCGAAAAAAGUUUCCAUAAGUAAGAGCAGCGUAGCUAUAAGAAUUCGCACUCUUAAUAAGAAUUAUAUGCGUUAGAGCGAGCAAGUGAAAAUCAGGCGAAAUUUGACAGCGAAUUUCAAAUUUGAUUCUAGUAGGCUGCGAAGAAAAACAUCAAUUUCGCGCAAAAUUUUGGAGAUAGCCAAACAUCAGCAGGAGACUUAAGCCAUCAGAACCUUGAAGAUUGCCAAACAUCAGCAACGACGCCCACAGCACAUUCAACGCCAUUGGUCGCCAACAACUCUCAACCCUACAACAUUCCAGCUACAUUGUUCGGUCGUGGAAUACAGACAGUAGAAGUCAGCGGAGAUUAGAUAUAUAUAUAAAUUUUAUCUGUUAUUAAUUUUAUUAUUAUAAUAUCUAAUAUAAUAAUAA
Rhagoletis zephyria (snowberry fruit fly) is the source of this 504-nucleotide long non-coding RNA. RefSeq lists it as uncharacterized. The record is from RefSeq and is a predicted model, not a curated record. Lineage: Eukaryota; Metazoa; Arthropoda; Insecta; Diptera; Tephritidae.